UACGGAGGGGACUAGCGUUGUUCGGAAUUACUGGGCGUAAAGCGCGCGUAGGCGGGCUGGUCAGUUGGGGGUGAAAUCCCGAGGCUUAACCUCGGAACUGCCUUCAAUACUGCCAGUCUUGAGUUCGGAAGAGGUGAGUGGAAUUCCUAGUGUAGAGGUGAAAUUCAUAGAUAUUAGGAAGAACACCAGUGGCGAAGGCGGCUCACUGGUCCGAUACUGACGCUGAGGUGCGAAAGCGUGGGGAGCGAACAGGAUUAGAUACCCCGGUAGUCC
This 273-nucleotide ribosomal RNA is filed under the name uncultured bacterium. RNAcentral describes it as "partial 16S ribosomal RNA". It matches the Rfam family "Bacterial small subunit ribosomal RNA", at positions 524 to 796 of the family's 1533-position model. The record is from RNAcentral.